This is a long non-coding RNA of Rhododendron vialii, 2048 nucleotides long. RefSeq lists it as uncharacterized. The transcript has 2 exons. The record is from RefSeq and is a predicted model, not a curated record. NCBI's taxonomy places the organism in Eukaryota, Viridiplantae, Streptophyta, Magnoliopsida, Ericales, Ericaceae.
UAAAUUCACUCCGACCGACGAAGGAAACGUCCCCGGCGAAGGGUCAGGCUUUAUUUAAUCUUCCAUCCUUCAAACCCUAAAUCGUAACCAGUAAGCUCAUUUCAAUUUUGUAUAGAUUUCAUUGUUCUCGGCAAACUUCUCUCUGCUCCAUUCCUUGUUUGACAAAAAUUGUGUUUAUGUGGGAAUUUCUUGCUCCAUUGCGUGUUUAAAUUGAGGCAAUUGUUAAUUAAUUUAACUAAAAGUUACAGAAGAAAAGUGGGAGAGUAAAGCCUUUUGAAAGCUCCUUAGAGUUUCAAACUGAGCUCGAAUAAGUUACUACUCGGCUCAUUUAUCACCCCUAAUUCUUUGAGAUCGGCUGGUCUCAUAAACAAGCUAAGUUUAGAACACAUUUUCGAAGUUAAGCUUUCAAACCCAACUUGAUCAACCUCUUGCUUGGCUCAAUCAGCUCGUUAAUCACCCCAAUCCUGGGUUUGUCCAAAUUUUUUCCUGAAAGUAGUUGUAUGUGCUCGCCUACUCUGGCUUAAGAAAUUUUCCAUUUUGCCAUCAAUCAGCGAAAAGCAUGCAUUCAUGAGAUGUGUUAUCGUGUUCUUUUGAUAAAGAACUUUACGUAGUGUAAUAAGUUCAACUUCAUUGAACCAAUUUGCUUAUUCACCUCACAGACAACUUUUAUACAAGCACCAGGCCACAAAUGUCUCUUAAGUUCUGGAAAUAAUAUAACUAAGUGAGAACAAGGCCUGUUGCAGAUAUUUUGGAUAUAGUGCUCACAUAUUCAUAAACUCGUAUCUAUUCUGUCCACCUAUAACAUCUUAGUAUGUCCACGUAACUUAUUUGAUCAGAUGGGUGGUGGUUUACAUUUUUUGAUCUUCUCUUCCAUUCCUGUUGGCAAUCAAGAGAGUACUUUUUUUUACAAAAAUAGUUUGGUUAUCCCGUGGAUGUUUCUUUAGGGCCUGGAUGUUCAUCAAUUGCUUAUGGGAUGGCUGAAGAACCUGGAGGACCUUUUCACAUUGAGAAAGACGAGAAGACUCUUUAUUUGAACCCUUAUGGUUGGAAUCAAGCUAGAGUAGAGUCAAAUCCACUAUCAUUAUCAUCGUCAUCCUCAGUGGAAGCUGCAGGGGCAUAGUCAUAGUCUCCGUCAUCAUUGUCAUCAUCAUCGCCAUCUCCUUCCAUGCCUGUUGACAGGGCAGGAUAGUAUCCUUCAUCACCAUCUGGAUUCUUCUUGCAACAUGUCCAGGAGGAGUUGAGGACCAUGACACAAUGGCUUUUGAAAUGGGAGACAUUUUCUUUCUAGGGAAAUUUUGUUGAAGAAAAGAAAAGUGGGACUUGUGGUGUUGUUCUAAGGUCUUUGUUGUUUGGACUGAGCAUGGCUUGGAGGUAAAACCAAUGCUUAUAUCAGUGGAAGGGAAGGUGUUAGGUUCAUGUUGGCUCAAGCUAGCCACAUGGGAAGUGUGGAGUGUAACUUGAAGGGCGUGCGAGACACAAUGCAGGCAACACGUGGAGCCAUAUAGUCCAGCCGCCUAGGAAAUUUGGGUGACAGUUUAGCAUACAUGUUGGUGCACCAAUAGGUGACCACAAUUUAACAGUAAUAAGGCAUCUUUUCUGCAUGGUUGGGUCAGAGAUAUCAAAGAAGAGUAGGAUUUUUGUGCAGGUUGGUGACAAUGGAAGCUCAAAAAGUGUGGUGCAUUAUUCUUUAGGAAUGGGUUUGAACUUUGAAGGGAUACUUUAGUCAUUUUAGCAACUAUCUCUAUCUACGUCGAUUGAAAAAAAUUACCCGUUGAUCUAUGUGGCAUGCCAUGAUUGGGUGCUGCAGCAACAUUCUAGAGUUUCUUCAACAAGAGCUAACCAAUAUUUGCUAGAGAAAAGGCCAUGUAUUAAGAUGUAAUUAGCAAUCUUUAGCAGCAUUCUAGAAUUGCUCAUGAGCGACAAGAGCUAACCAACUUGUGGUAGAGAAAAGUCCAUUUAUUCAGAUGUAUUUAGCUUAGGGAGUAAGGUUCAUUGAUCCUUAUCACUCAUCUUUAGAUCAGUAUAAUGCAACCACAAUAAAUUUGACA